CAGGGAGAUCAGGAGGAGGCCAGGGGUUAAGUUUGGGGAUGACUGUGCUGUUUUAUCCCUCUUCUGCCUAUGCUGAGGCCCCUUACCCUGUAGCAGCCCCCUUCACCACUGGGGGCCCCAAGCUUCAACCCAGCCCCAGGGCUCAGUGUCAGUCACCUAUCCUGUGGCCUCGCACCUGGAUCCCAGACCCUUCGUGGGACCUGCAGGGUGGGGUCCUGACAGGCUUAUGGGGUUGCAGGGUCACAUGGUCAUGCAGCUAUAGAGCUGGCAAUGGCCAACACCUCUCCCCAGUCUGUCUAGUUUGGAGCCCCUCCCUGCCCUCUGCCUAGCUGUGCCUCCACUGGGACAGACAUCCCCCCUAUCUUGCCCCACUGGGUGUGCCUUCUGGGGACCCCACCUGUGUGGGUGGCUGGGUGAACCAGGAAUGGACUUGAGGCCUCAAAGGUCAGUUGCUGCUGCCAGGGCUACCUUUGAGCCUUUGAAAGUGCGCCCUGGACAUGCUCUGUGCCUCCCUCCCCACAUCCUCACUCAUUUCCUCCCAUAUUGGUGAGUCACCCUCCUUUCCCACCCCAUUUCUGCCUUGCCCUACAGCAUAGGGAGCACCAUGGUCUGUGCGAGGGGCCAAAGGCUGCUGAAUCCAUUGUGAUAAAUCCCCAAAGCCAACCCAGCAUGGGUCUGAGGGUGCUCCCACCCUCAGGUGGUGCUUCCUUCAAAGCCCUGGCACUUACGGGAUGACCUUGAUGUCUUCCUUGCCAUGGAGGAUAUAGUCGAUGACUUUGUAGAAGACGAUUUCCUGUGAAAUGGACCACAGCAGUCGUGAGGUGCUCCCCGGGCCAGCUUCCCAGCGGGAGCCUCCCUGAGGGGUGAGAGGAGCCACCCAGGUGCCCCACCCAGACACACACAUGCAUGUGCAUACACAGCACGUUCCACACCCAGAGUUAUACACAACCCUCACGUGCACACACACGUGCAGACCAUCAAUGACACUUGUGCAACACACAUUACACACUUACCUUCAUUCUGUCUGUGUCCUACUCAAGCCCACACACAAACUGGGUCCCAUACCCUUUCAUACAUGUGCAUACAGCCACCCAGGCCUGCAUGCGUGCGCACACACACACACACACACACACACAAACUGUGGCAGGUCAUGGUCACAGCCCAGCCUUGUGCAGGAACUCGUCUAUACACUUGACACACAACCCUGUGAGGAGGGCACAGUUAGCAGGUGGGGAGACUGAAGCAUGGCCAGGCUGGGUGGUGUGUACCAGGUUGGAUGCACACACGAUAAGGGGCACAGGUAUCUGCCCAUGUUCCCAUGCACUUUUCAUAUUGCCUCUGUCAUGCACAUGCACACGCGUGUGUACACACAUACACAUGGCCCCAUUAGGGAGAAGCUACAGUGGUUUCAAGGGGCAGCGGAAGGACCACCCAAUCAGGACGGAUGCUGGUUAUUCAAACCAGGCUGAUGACACUUAUUGGGAGACCAGCACCUGCCCCACCUGGCCCAAGAGCAUGGGGUGGAGUCAGGCGGGACAGCAGACAAGCACUCAGAGCAGUCAGGCAGCCAGCCGGCCCCAGUGGUCUGUUCCCACCUCCCCACACCCUUCCUAAAACCCUCCCUCUCCCACCCUGGGUCAAGCUGGGACAGACCCCUUCCUGCCCUGGAACUUGAGUUGGAGUCAGGGAAACCACAGUGUGCCAAGUGGACCUGUCCCCCCUCCACCAUGACUCACGCGGCCAUCGGGCGUGCGUGGGCCUGAGUACGGCUGAGCUUCUCCCAUCAGCACAGGCCACACAUCAAAGAAUUCCUGAGCCAGGAAGAGAGGGGAGAGAGUUAGUGAGUCAGUCUGGAGCAGGUCAAGCCUGGCCAGGAGGCUGGUGGGACAGCGGGGCCUCACCUUCUCCUUGGUCAUGUCCAGGAGGCCCACUGAGUACCGGUCACAGUUUAGAUAGGCCCGCACAGUGUAGAAGGCCUUGUGGAACUGCCUCUCGAUGUCUGUCAGCUCCUCAAACACCUUGUUAGCUGACCACAGCAGCACCUGGUGGGGGGGCACACUGGUGAGCCUGUGGUGCCAUGCGCGCACACACACACACACACACACACACACUUGUGUGACCACAGCAGCACCUGGGUGUGAACUGUCACACCAAACAUACACAGGCACACAUGCAGCUGACCACAGAGCCCCAGAGGGACACUGGUUGAUGGUGCCUCUCCCAACAGCAUCUCCACAGAGUGCCAUCACCCAGGAUUUCAUCCAAGCACAAGGCUAUCUGCUCCUUGACCCAGGUGCCCUGAAACCUACUGGAAGGUAAGCCCUCCAAGCUUCGGCCGCGUCGCGGACCCUCACUGUCUCGUGCUGCCUUGGGCUGGGUCAGUGAGUGAAAGAGUGAAUGCAUUAGAAUUGAAAGGUAAAGCUUUGACCAGCCUUCCCUUAUCAGCCUUGAGAAGCUGGGUUUUGAGAACACGGGGUCAUUGUGUUCUGGGUGUCACAAAGCAAGUUGAGAGCAACAGGUCACUGACAUGCUCCACGAGGCCCUGGCCAGACCCUCCCCGGGACGUCGACACCCCAACUGAACCCUGGCUGCUGUCCAGGGUCACUGACCAGGCUCAGAUGAACCCUGUGGGGCUCUCCCCUCUCCUGCCCGGGCGGAAUUUCCCUAUUUCCUCAGCCAGGGCCCAAAGGCAGGUGACUCCAGCCUGUGCCACCCACCACCGC
RNAcentral lists this long non-coding RNA (2723 nucleotides) under Lynx pardinus (Iberian lynx). The record is from RNAcentral. Lineage: Eukaryota; Metazoa; Chordata; Mammalia; Carnivora; Felidae.